UUUGGAGAGUUUGAUCCUGGCUCAGGAUGAACGCUGGCGGCGUGCUUAACACAUGCAAGUCGAACGGGAUCCCGGGGGUUCGCUUCCGGGUGAGAGUGGCGAACGGGUGAGUAAUGCGUGACCGACCUGCCCCAUACACCGGAAUAGCUCCUGGAAACGGGUGGUAAUGCCGGAUGCUCCGGUUGGAUGCAUGUCCUUCCGGGAAAGAUUCUAUCGGUAUGGGAUGGGGUCGCGUCCUAUCAGCUUGAUGGCGGGGUAACGGCCCACCAUGGCUUCGACGGGUAGCCGGCCUGAGAGGGCGACCGGCCACAUUGGGACUGAGAUACGGCCCAGACUCCUACGGGAGGCAGCAGUGGGGAAUAUUGCACAAUGGGCGCAAGCCUGAUGCAGCGACGCCGCGUGCGGGAUGGAGGCCUUCGGGUUGUAAACCGCUUUUGAUCGGGAGCAAGCCCUCGGGGUGAGUGUACCUUUCGAAUAAGCACCGGCUAACUACGUGCCAGCAGCCGCGGUAAUAA
RNAcentral lists this ribosomal RNA (515 nucleotides) under Bifidobacterium dentium. RNAcentral's name for it is "bacterial SSU rRNA". It matches the Rfam family "Bacterial small subunit ribosomal RNA", at positions 1 to 526 of the family's 1533-position model. Lineage: Bacteria; Bacillati; Actinomycetota; Actinomycetes; Bifidobacteriales; Bifidobacteriaceae. The record is from RNAcentral.